CAUGUGGGCAUGGGCUACGGCUCCAUCUGCAU
RNAcentral lists this non-coding RNA (32 nucleotides) under Homo sapiens (human). The record is from RNAcentral. Lineage: Eukaryota; Metazoa; Chordata; Mammalia; Primates; Hominidae.